AGAAAGGAAAAUCGUUUCCAUGUUUUUUAUUUAAAAGAACUACAAGCACAGAGUAGCAUUCAUCUCUUAAUUUUUAGGCUAAUUUUGAAGAUGAGGAAAUCAGAGCAGAAAAUCCAGGCGGCCGGAACCCAACGCCAGGGAGGAUUCUGCACAGCUUUCUGGUGAGAGAUGGGAAGGGAAGCCAGGAAAAAGUACAGUUCUUCACCCGACGGCCUUUCAGACCUGUCUUCCCCUCCCCCAGCCCUGGAUUCAGACUGAUUUGGGCAAAAAGAUUUCUUCCCAGUCACCCCAUGGCCAUUACUGUGAGUAAAAAGAUAGCUGGCGAUUGGGAUUAGGGUCCCAGGGUCCCACGUGGGUGUUUUCUAGUCCUCUGUCUUCAGAACUCACAGUGCCAUCAUGGCCUUACCGUCUGCAGGGUCACCAACGGGCUCGGGAUAGAAGCACCAGGGGACUCCCACGACUUUGUUGUCAAAACAGCAGCCUUUUCUUUCACACUCCGUCUCCGUGAUCCCGGAAUAACCACAAUUUGAUCUGCUGUCGGGGUGCACCUGACAUGUCUCUGAAAGUGCACAGGCCAAGAGGCGAAGAUAAAGAAUCUGAGACACAAGCAAGCCCUAAGGAAGCCGUGGUGCCCUCCCGCCUUGAUUCUCUCCGUUGGUGACACCACGGACCAGGCAUCGAUGGGACACACACCAGCAGGACUGGUGGUUUGGGUGCCAUGGGGCAGGGGGCCCAGGAGAGCCCACAGACCCUGCCGGAGGGGCUCCCAGGGGACGCCCAGCCCCGGAGCAGGCCCUCGGACGCCUGUGUGGACUUUGAGUGGGUUCCAGCCCCUGGGGCAGGGUUUGGCUUGGACUUUUGGGAGAACCAGUCUUAGGUCCAACAUCAAAGAUGGCUCUUUGAAAUAUGGAACUUCAGAGCAGCACAAUACUCUAGGCUCAGUGCUGCAGACAGCCCCCCGCCUCCUUCUCACAGCAUUUCCCGAAGCUUCCACAGGCCCCCUACCCCGCCGCUACCGUCCGCCUGUUCUGCCCACAAAAAUCUUUCUAGGACCUAGAACAGCACCUGGGACAGACAGCGCUCAGCUCAGAAAUAUGGAUAGUGACACCCUGAGUCCUGCACAGAGGCGCACCCACCCCGGGGCAGGACUUGCUGUCUUACCGCCCUCGCUCUGUGCCAGGCUGCUGAGCGCCAGCGCCAAGGCCAUGACCAGGACGCAGAUCACCUUGGGCUCCAUGCUGGCCGCAACCUCACUCCUCCGCUCCGAAGGAGACCACGAGUCAAGGCUGAGAUGCGUCCUGGCUCUCGGUCUUAUACAGCAGGCUGUUUGCUUAAAGAGGUGGAGUCCUUUCCGAAGCGAGGUUGUGUAGAGGAGGGCCAGUGUGACACUGAUGACGCAGAGGGGCUUUCCCUCUGGGGGGCCCCUGCGUCUGCGGGCUGGCGCUCCCAGAUCCUCCUCG
Non-coding RNA from Vicugna pacos (alpaca), 1460 nucleotides. NCBI's taxonomy places the organism in Eukaryota, Metazoa, Chordata, Mammalia, Artiodactyla, Camelidae. The record is from RefSeq and is a predicted model, not a curated record.